This is a long non-coding RNA of Drosophila subpulchrella, 528 nucleotides long. RefSeq lists it as uncharacterized. The transcript has 3 exons. The record is from RefSeq and is a predicted model, not a curated record. Lineage: Eukaryota; Metazoa; Arthropoda; Insecta; Diptera; Drosophilidae.
AAAAGCCUUUCCAUUUCAGCAAAAUUCUUUAAUUGUCAAGGAAACUUAGAUAUCUGAACGACAACAUGAAUGUCUUAUCCGUUGUAUUAAUUUGCCUUGCCCUAUAUAUGCCGCCAAGAGGAGUUUGGAGCUCCCCCAAUAAAUAAAAGUAAUAAAUUGAAUAUGCCUUGUGUUUUAUAUAUUAAAGGACUAAUUUCAGUGUACAACUGACAUUUUAGGUUUUUUAUUAAUAUGAUAAAUUAAUUAUUGCAGUUAGAAUAAUUAAAAAUAGUUUCCAGUUAAUGCUAAGUGUAUCAGCACUAGUGCUGGCCUAUAAAGGCCUUUGCAUCCCAGUAAAAUUGUUUAAUUGCCAAGGAAACGACAACUGAUUGUCUCAACUUUUAUAUUAAUUUGCCUUGCCGUAUGUGUUUCGUCAGAAGGCAUUUAUCCAUUAUCCAGGAUAUUCAAAAAUAAUGUAAUAUAUUGAAUAUGCCGAGUUUUUUAUAUUGGUAAAACUGGAUGCUGGAGUCAAAUAUAAGUCAAGCUGAA